RNAcentral lists this long non-coding RNA (985 nucleotides) under Anser cygnoides (Swan goose). RNAcentral's name for it is "lncRNA (ENSACDG00005017991.1)". The record is from RNAcentral. Lineage: Eukaryota; Metazoa; Chordata; Aves; Anseriformes; Anatidae.
GGCUGUGGCGAAUGGCUCUGCCCCCGGGGGGGUGACCCCUGCCCCGGCCCCACCGCCCGGGCUUUGUCCCCGCCGGCCGCCCCGUCCCUCCUCCCGCCCUUCCCCGCCCUCCGCCGGCUCUGCCUCAACUUUAGAGGCAGGUCCCGGAGGCUCCGGGAGCGGGACCGGCACCGGGCGGGGGCUGGCAGCCUCCUCCCCACCCCGGCAGCACGGAAAGGACGCGGACACCCGGAGCCGACGGCGACAGAGGAGAAAUCCCUGCAUCACUUCAAUCAACGUGGUUUUGGCAGCACCCACCAAAGGGGAUGGGGACAGGGACGGGGCGAAGCCAUGCCAGCGCGGGGGAGCAGCCAGGGCAGCAGGGAGACGACCACCACGCAGCACCCGAACCCUGGAAAUCAAAGGAACUCCACCAGGACCUGGUGUUAGGACUGAGCUUUCCAGCCCGGAGGAGGCUGCUCCUGCCGUGGGUUUGCAGCGGCAAAGUUGUGCCUGGCUCUCGGGGCUGGGCUGGGGUGGUGGCAUCCCUCCUCCACAAGCACGACACGUGCGGAGCUGAGCACGGGAAGUUACCUGCGCUCCCCCAAGGAUGCUCAAGACCCCAUCGCCCCUUGUGGAUGGGGAAGGGGGCUCUGCCAGCUGCACCCCACGGGCAGGGCGCCGGGACCCCCACCGGCGACUCGUGGGGACGAGGACACGGGUGAAGACGUGCCACCGCGUUCCCCGGGGACAGCGUGAGGGUCAGCCUCUUCGCAAGCGACCCGUCGUGAAGCACAGCUCUCGGUGAGGAAUUUUGGAGCAGGGACCCAGCUUUCGGCACGGCUCGGGGGGGGCUUAAAAUUUGCCGAAAAACACCAGGAACGGUUCAGGCAGCGAGGCAGGGGGGUGGUGGCACUGUCACCUCCUGGGCACCCAUGUCCUUGCUGUAGUAGGACCUUGGCAGUGCCCAUCCCGGGCUCACACCAGUUUCUCCCAUUAACAGGUG